AACGAACGCUGGCGGCAUGCCUAACACAUGCAAGUCGAACGAGACCUUCGGGUCUAGUGGCGCACGGGUGCGUAACACGUGGGAAUCUGCCCUUUGCUUCGGAAUAUCAGUUAGAAAUGACUGCUAAUACCGGAUGAUGUCGAAAGACCAAAGAUUUAUCGGCAAAGGAUGAGCCCGCGUAGGAUUAGGUAGUUGGUGGGGUAAAGGCCUACCAAGCCGACGAUCCUUAGCUGGUCUGAGAGGAUGAUCAGCCACACUGGGACUGAGACACGGCCCAGACUCCUACGGGAGGCAGCAGUGGGGAAUAUUGGACAAUGGGCGAAAGCCUGAUCCAGCAAUGCCGCGUGAGUGAUGAAGGCCUUAGGGUUGUAAAGCUCUUUUACCAGGGAUGAUAAUGACAGUACCUGGAGAAUAAGCUCCGGCUAACUCCGUG
Molecule: ribosomal RNA, 433 nt
Filed under: uncultured bacterium
Lineage: Bacteria
Description: partial 16S ribosomal RNA
Rfam family: Bacterial small subunit ribosomal RNA
Source: RNAcentral